This is a long non-coding RNA of Chenopodium quinoa (quinoa), 1784 nucleotides long. RefSeq lists it as uncharacterized. The transcript has 3 exons. NCBI's taxonomy places the organism in Eukaryota, Viridiplantae, Streptophyta, Magnoliopsida, Caryophyllales, Amaranthaceae. The record is from RefSeq and is a predicted model, not a curated record.
GUCAUGAACUAUUACGAUAAUCGAAGAGAGAGAAAGUUAGGGUUUGUGUUUUUUUUUUUUUUUUUUUUUAGGAAAGAUGGUUUCUAUUUUGUUAUAAUGCUGACUGCUCAUCCCAAUCUAAUCCUACGGUUGAGAUUAGUUUUUAUAUAACUAGGGUUCUUAUAUAAGGAUGAGUUCUUACCAGAUCCUUCCUCUAUAUAACCGAGUUACGGUGAGAACUAGCCGAAUAAUAGAACUAAGAACUAAUUUAGACCGUUAGAUCUAACACAAAUAGGCGCGCGAUCAACGGUCCAGAUUGAAUCACGCAUAUUCAGUUCAUUGCCCAAAAUCAUGCGGACUUUCUCUCUCCUCAGGCAUUUUCUCUCUCCUCCAUUACAACGAGCCUCUGAAUUCUCCAUUAAAGCGGUCUCCGUGCUUUCUCUACUCCAUUGAAGCGACUUUCGAGCUUUCACUACUCCAUUGAAGCGGCAUCUAAGCUUUCUAUAUUCCAUGGAAGUAGUUUUUGAGGUUAAAAGUGUUAAAGUAUUGACAGAACUUGGUUUCAAGACUGAAGUUACGCUUGAUGAUGUAUUGGCAAUGCUUCGAACUUGGAGAACGUUGGAGUCUACAUUCACAGCUGGGUAUUAAUCUAUUGCAGAGCUAGUCACUUUUCUGCCUAUUCUUGAUCAUUGGUUGAUAAAAAGCUGCUCAUUUCUUUGUUCUUAAUCUUAAUUGCUGAUUUGUUGAUUUAGAAAUUCAUUGUAAUCUAGCCCCUGCAUAUUUUACAAAAACUUAAGCAGUCAUUCAAAUCAAUGUGACGUUGUGGCUUUGUAAGAAAGAUUGAACAACCUAGUACAAUUUUACCAUCUAAAGAAGUUAUAAAGCUAAAUCUUAUAUUACUUGCUGCUUACAAACUAUGCUAUUAUUGAACUAACAAUGUCUCCUAUGAGUAUUAUUUUAUCAAUUUCAAAAGUAGAUAGAAACCAAAUAAAAGUAAACUAAUUACAUUAUAAAGUAAAUCAAAAAACUGAACCUAUGAUUUAGAAUAUGAGCAAUCAGAAGUUGUAGCUUAUGCUCUCUUAUCAGAUUAGAAAAUAUAUGGGUGUAGAAAUGAUAUAUAUUGGCCAUUAGCAAGGGCAUAUAUGGUUCCAUUGAAAUCUUGUGGUGGUAGGAACGUGGAAGUGCUGAUGCUCUAAGGGAAAUGCUCAAUGACCCAAAUUCCUAUUUGGACUGUGACAUGGGAAACAUUAUCAGGGACGUUGCUCAUCUUCUCCAACGAAACUGGUCUGUUACUAUUCUCCAUGCUGGGAGGGCAGUCAACCAUUUGGCUCACCAGCUAGCUGCUCUUGGAAGAUGUCAACCUCAGAUCUUGAAGCUGCUUGAUCAUGGCUUCUUUGCUGCUGUUCCUCGCCAAACUUUUUCUUCAACUGUCACCUUCACUCGGCAUUUUGUCAGUAGCUUUAUGUUUAGUUAUUUCGUGCUUUCUUUGUCUUUCUGUAAUCUUUUCUAUUCUAAGAGUGAUCUUACCACUUUAUCCUCUUUUGCGUUAAAAAAAAAGAGUACGUGGAGAUGAGAGUAUGGAUUGAGGAGGCUCGUCCUUGUGUAAUGGAUAUUGUUAUGCUAGCAUUCCUUAAUAAAGUAUGCUGCUUUCUGUCAACAAAAAAAAAAGUUUUCAUGACGAGAAAUACAUCCGUUGUCUCCAAAAGUAAAUAAAAAAGAAUAUAAAGUGAAUAAAAAGGACUUUAAAGUAAACCUAUUAGCUCAAGUGGUAGAGCACUAUGCGUAUGCAUAGAGGUGUAGGUUCG